AAUAUGUUUGGCUCUAAUUUCCUUUGCUUCUUUUCGUCUCUGUCCCUUACCCUUCAUCUCUGUCCCUGCGAUUCCCAGAUCUGCGCUCAUUUUGGCGGCAGCUUUGUACUCCGGCGGCAGCGUUGAUCUUCGACGGUGGAACCGUGUGGCGGUCUCAAUUUGCCGUGAUAUCAGUGUACGAUUAGGACAACCGUUUUUGUUCACCUCUUUUCGGUAAAAUGCAGAAUGAAAGAAGUUGGAUGUAUAACAAGAAUUUAUCUAAUUGAAAAUGGAGCAAGAUAUGAGAGCGUUGCGCCGACAUCAAGAAUUUAUCAUGCGACACCUUCAGUUGACCUCCGCUCAAAGUCAGGUUCCUUCCAAUGACGAUGACGAUGAUGACCAUGAUGAUAACGAUGAUGGUGGUGAUGGUUGUUCCUGAUUUUAAUUAUGGCUUGUGAGACGAAAUGUAUGCCGAAGAAAAAAGAAAAGAAGACUUGAUGGGAUGAAAGCUUUUGUGGAAUAAGAAGAUGACUUGAUGUAUCUUAGUUUGUUUAACUUCUUGGAUUGAUGGACUUGUAUGGAAACUUGUUGGAGUGUUGAACUUGUGAAAUAUUUUUGAGUAGCUUAAAGAACAAAUUAUGGUCUUGUAUGACUUGUUGAGUUUGAAACAUUUGAAUUUGUUGUGAAUAGAUGUAUAUGAAUUAAUUAA
Molecule: long non-coding RNA, 688 nt
Organism: Zingiber officinale
Lineage: Eukaryota; Viridiplantae; Streptophyta; Magnoliopsida; Zingiberales; Zingiberaceae
Exons: 5
Source: RefSeq, a predicted model, not a curated record